GUGCCAGCCGCCGCGGUAAUACAGAGACUGCAAGCGUUAUUCGGAUUCACUGGGCGUAAAGGGUGCGCAGGUGGCCAAGUGUGUCAGGUGUGAAAUCCCGGGGCUUAACUCCGGAACUGCGCCUGAAACUGCAUGGCUAGAGCAUUGGAGAGGGAAGUGGAAUUCACGGUGUAGCAGUGAAAUGCGUAGAUAUCGUGAGGAACACCAGAGGCGAAGGCGACUUCCUGGACAAUUGCUGACACUCAGGCACGAAAGCGUGGGUAGCCAAAGGGAUUAGAUACCCUCGUAGUCC
This 292-nucleotide ribosomal RNA is filed under the name uncultured bacterium. RNAcentral describes it as "partial 16S ribosomal RNA". It matches the Rfam family "Bacterial small subunit ribosomal RNA", at positions 505 to 796 of the family's 1533-position model. The record is from RNAcentral.